Molecule: ribosomal RNA, 274 nt
Filed under: uncultured bacterium
Lineage: Bacteria
Description: partial 16S ribosomal RNA
Rfam family: Archaeal small subunit ribosomal RNA
Source: RNAcentral
AAACCGGCACCUCAAGUGGUCAGGAGGUUUAUUGGGCCUAAAGCAUCCGUAGCCUGAUCUAUAAGUUUCCGGUUAAAUCCACAUGCUCAACAUUUGGGCUGCCGGAAAAACUGUAGAUCUAGGGAGUGGGAGAGGUAGACGGUACUCGGUAGGAAGGGGUAAAAUCCUUUGAUCUAUUGAUGACCACCAGUGGCGAAGGCGGUCUACCAGAACACGUUCGACGGUGAGGGAUGAAAGCUGGGGGAGCAAACCGGAUUAGAAACCCCGGUAGUCC